GCUUUUAGGAGCUUAACCCCUGAAGGAGAUUUAAAGCUGCUUGAUCUGAAGACCUUCGGUGAGCGUCUGUGUGAGCCCCCGCAGGGAGGCAGGAAGCCGGAAGUGCAGCAGCUGGUGACCUUCACGGAGCAGCAGUGGACUUCAGUGUUGCAGAUCCUCAGACAGCUGGAGCUGCGAGCUCUUUCAGACGACUUCAGCGCUCAGACUAAAGCCACCGAGGCUUGGAUCAGAGAGCAACAGCAGAAGCUGGAGGCUGUCAGCUGUCACGCCUCCCCUGGAGACAGAGUCUGUGCAGCUAAGGCUGUUCUAACCUCCAGACCUGAGGGCGACUUCAAGGUGAACAACCUAAGGAGACGAGGCCAGAGUGUUUGUGACCAUCAAGACGCUGACGAGGCCAGCAAAGUCUGUGUCCAACAGAGUGUGAAGGAAACAGAGCAGCAGUGGAGGAAGGUUCUAGAAUCGGCCAAACAACUUCAAUCUGCAGCAGAAGCUGAGAUUUCUCAGAAUAGAGAAAGAACAAUGUUAGAGUGGAGAGAAUUUGACACCAAUAUGGAAGACACUGAGCAUUGGCUGGAGGAUUUUCUUCAACAGCUGGGCUCUGUGAGCAGCCGAGCUAAAGCUGAGGACAGACUGCGUGCAGCACAGGCCAUUGUGAACUCAGAGUCUGAAACCGAAUCCAGGCUCCAGAGGCUCGGAGCGCAGGUUCACAGUGUGUGCCGCCAGGACCUGGAGGAGCACAAGAAACAAGAAGUCAAACAGAAGGUAAAAGACAUGGAGGAGAGGUGGACCAGAAUCCUGGAAGCUGCCAAACAAGCCCUGAGUCAGGCGGAGAGCCGAUGCGCUCUUGAGCAUCAGCUGGAGGACCUCCAGACCCUGAGAGAAGACUUCAGGAAGUGGCUGGAGGAAAAGCAGCACAACUUCCUGCUCCAGGGCAGGCUGACUAAUCCAGAACAGAGCCUCAACAACGCAAAGGAUUUGCUGAGCUGCAAACCUGAUGGGGACUCCAAGCUGAUGGUGCUCAGGAGGCAAUGCCAGAGCUUCCUUGACCGGGAGGGGUUGGAGGAGCAGGAGAGGCGAGACGCUCUUGAGAUGCUGCAGGACUCAGAGGAGCGAUGGAAAACUGUGCUAGAGGCUGCUGAGAACUCUCUGCGCCGAGUUGAGGUUCGAUAUUCGCUGUCCAGGGAGCUGGAGGCUUUCUGCACGCAUGCAGGCAGCACUGAGAGCUGGAUUGACAGCCUGCAGAAACAAGUCGACUCCAUGAGGGGGGGCACUCAGGGCACCAGAGCUCAGAUUGAGGAACGGUUAAACGUUGCACAGAUCGUCCUGGGCUCCAGGUCCCAGGGAGACGCUCAGGUGACAGAGCUAAAGAGGAGAGCGCAGAGUCUCUAUGAAUACGAGGAGCUGGAGGAGGACAGAAGGGCGGAGGUGCAGCAGAGGGUGGGGGACAUGGAGGAGCACUGGAGGACACUUGUCCAGAAUGCAGAGGAGACGCAGAGACAGCUGCAGGGUCUGGUGGACCGCCUGGUGUCCUGUCAGUACAAGCGAGGACAGGCGGCGACCCGUCUGGCUGAGCUGCAGAAGCAGGUGUCCAACCUGCGGUGCCUCUUCCCCUGGCCAGGCCUGGGGGAGCGAAGGCAGGCUGUGGACCAGGCCCGUGCCCUGCUGGAGCAAAGCGCCGCCGUGGCGCCACUUCUGUCUGCUGUGCGCACCCAGGCUGCUGAGCUGCUGGAAAUCACAAAGGAUCAAAGCUGGGCAGAUCCCUGCUGGACAGUUGAGGGCGGAGCCAUCGCUGCUCUGCAGAGCGAGCUCAAUGACGUGGUGUCCCAGCAAGAGUGUGGCAUCGUGGUGGAGCGGCAGUGCACCCUGCUAUUGGAGCAGCACCAAGCAGCCCAGGUUUGGCUGAGGGAGCAGGUCAAAGGGCUGGGACCCCCCCCAGCAGACCGACAGGGUCUGCACAACGCUGUCAACAAUCUAAAGGCUUUGGUCCAGACUGUCACCAGAGAGCAGAGGGAGAUGAAGGAGCUGGACUCUGCCAGAGACAGUUUGCUGAGGCACUGCACCCCUGCAGGCCAGGAUGCUCUGAACCUGGAGGUCAGCCAGCUCUAUGACCUCCAUGCUGGCUCUGAGAGGGAGGUGAGGGAGCGGCUGGCUGCCUGUGAGCUCCGGCUGGAGGAGAGUGACCGUGAGCUGGCCAGGAUGGCCGGGGAGCUGAGGGAGAGAGCAGCAGCCCUGCAGUGGGAGCUGCGCUCCCUGGACCAGGCGCUCAGCUACAGUGAACCACAGAACAAUAUUGUUCAGCUGCAGCAGCACUGGCACAGCCUACAGAACUGUGAGAACUCCCUGGAGGAUUUGGGCGGGAAAGUUGAGGAGUUGCACCAGGAGGUCGAGCUGACGUCUUUUACCAAAGAGCUGCCUGCAGAAAUUCUCAGUCUGGUUGAGUCUCUGUGCCAGCAGCACACCAGGUAAGCUGCUGCACUGAGGCGCUGCGUCACCGAGGACACCAAGGAAACACAAAGAAAUGAAAGAUCUGAAAACACAAUCUGACAAAACCAAACUUCAGAUUAUCCUGAAAUGGAAUUUCUGUGUUGGGAGUAACUGGAUUCAAAUAAGACUAUGUUUGCAGAUUAAAAGAGUUUAUGAAGGUAUGAAUGUCCUGUGUAAAUAACAGAUGAAUUAGCCAAUUUAAUAAAUGGCACAGACAGACCAAACCAUCAAAAUCUCUUUUCCACUAUAAACAAUUCACAACACAUUAUUGAGGGGAAAAAAAUUACCCUUUAAUUUGUUUUCUGCCAUUUUAUGACCAUACUUAAAAUGACCACAACGCGUUAAGUACUCAAACACAUAAUUCUAAGAAUGGGAACCAUCAAAACAUCAUCACUUCCUCAAGAGCCCAAGUUGUGUUAAAGCAGCUAACUAACUAACAAAAGGUUAUCCUAGAAGACACCAAAGACCUUGUUAUUUGCCAACUAAUAACAAUUUAAAAAAUGCAUGUAAAUAUAUAAAUUGGAACACUUGAUCAUUUGAACUAAUGAGGCUGGAUUUUAAAAUUAGAAAUGCCCCCUCCCUGCUUUUUUCUUUCUUUUAAAGAAUGUUUUAACAGCAGGAUUCCUGCCUGUCUUUAAUUAUGUUUUGUUACAAUUGUGUAUACAAGCCUGAAAAUGUUAUUAUUUGCAAUAUUUUGUAAAAAAUAAAUAAAUAAAUAAAUAAAAAUAAUUUCUUUAUUCAUUUAUCUUCUAAACCCGUUUAGUCCCUUUUGGGGUCACGGGGCUGCUGGAGCCUAUCCCAGCCACUUGUGGGCGAAGGCAGGGGACAUCCUGGACAGGUCGCCUGUCUUUCACAGGGCCGCGAUCACACACUCAUACACACUCACUGUCACACCUAGGGACAAUUUGGAGUAACUAAUUAUCCUAUGAAGCAUGUGUUUUGAUGGUGGAGUCGCUGGAGAAAUUCCACGCAUGCACUGGGGGAACAUGCAAACUCCACACAGAAAGAACUUGGGGAAAAGAAAAAAAAAAUAUCUGUUUAAAUAUUCUUUCGUUCCAACGAGCAAUGCACCAUUUUAUCCCAUUGAGCCCAACAUAAACUGAGUCUGGAGUCCCGCUGCUCCUCUCAGUUUAAUCCAGGGGUCAACAACCUUCAGCGCUAAAGAGGCCGUCUCUUUCUUACUGACCAAAACCCAACGCCAGCUGCAAUGUCCCACAUAAUUUCAAAAUGUUGUGCCCAUUAAGCCUUUUAUUCAGCUUUUAAAUGUUUACACUCAAUUUAACAGUGUUAUGGUUCUCAAAAUAUAAUUCAAAUAUAUUUUGCUUUGGACCGCUGCACAUAAAUGAUCCUUUUUAAAAUUAAAUAUAUCCUGGUGUCAAAUAACUAACCCAUUAUUUGUUUUAAACAUUUGUAUUUUUAUUCAAAGGUAAUAAAUAAAGGAAUAAAAGAGCCUCAGGUUACAGACCCCUGGUUUGAUCAAACCCCGUUCACCCUCUCCUUUUGUUUCAGAGAGCUUCCUUUUGUUAGCUGCUGCAGAAGUCCUUCGUCUCCUUUGAGACAAAUAGACUUUACCAGCAUUUGGAUGCAGUGUGGCAAAAAGCACUGCUGUAAAAUGAAAGACAUGUUCUAAAAACACAUUAUCUGUCCCACCACAGAGCAUACUCAGCGCUGCAGGGGAGGAUAAAAUCCCUUCAUUUACCGUGCUGUUGAAUAAAGAAACGGUGCUGCGCCCUGUCGCUUAUGUUG
Oryzias sinensis (Chinese medaka) is the source of this 4230-nucleotide long non-coding RNA. The record is from Ensembl. Lineage: Eukaryota; Metazoa; Chordata; Actinopteri; Beloniformes; Adrianichthyidae.